GGCGGUGUAGCUCAGGGGUUAGAGCAGAGGAAUCAUAAUCCUUGUGUCGGGAGUUCAAAUCUCUCCACCGCUACCA
This 76-nucleotide transfer RNA is filed under the name Alphaproteobacteria bacterium. Its description in RNAcentral is "tRNA-Met". It matches the Rfam family "tRNA". Rfam says of the family: Transfer RNA (tRNA) molecules are approximately 80 nucleotides in length. RNAcentral also lists the same sequence under 2 other names. The record is from RNAcentral. Lineage: Bacteria; Pseudomonadati; Pseudomonadota; Alphaproteobacteria.